Molecule: long non-coding RNA, 333 nt
Organism: Ochotona princeps (American pika)
Lineage: Eukaryota; Metazoa; Chordata; Mammalia; Lagomorpha; Ochotonidae
Exons: 3
Source: RefSeq, a predicted model, not a curated record
GCUGGCGGCGGGAGGGAUGCAGACGGAGCCGCCCGGCCACCCCGAGCUGUCCGCGGGCUCUGUCACGCAGAGGCAGGACGCGGGAGGACCACGCAGGCCUCCCCAUGGGAUCCACGUGUCCAGCUCUGCAACGAGCAGCUCCUGGAGCAGGACAGCAGCAGCCGUUCUGGGAAGAGGACAUGAAGACCCACAAUUCCAUCAUGUCCGUCUAGCUCUGUGGUCCACGAUCCAUGAAUAAGAAUUCUACCUGAAGGAGUACCUCCGGCCAGCACCCUCUCCCUAGUGCUUCAGAGUGGAGAUGGAGGCGUCGCUGGAAUGUGAAAAUCCUUGCUG